CAAAAAUGGGUAGCUAAAAUGGUGUGUUUGAAGGCUGGGGUCGAUAUUUGAGUUCGAUGCUGGUCGGAAUUGUUUGGGCAGCUAAAUGGGCUAGUGAAAAAUGAAUAGCUAAUGUGCCUAAUUUGUUUUUAUUGCUAGGGGUGGGUAAAAGAAUAGGCUGGGUUUUUUGGUAUUGAAGAGGAGUUGAAUGGUAGACCCGCAAAGGCUAUUGAAAAAAUGAAAACAAAAUGAAGAAAAACUAUUGAUCGAGUUUGAUUUACAAAGGCUAUAGUUGAGUCUGAUGGUUCAAGUGCUAGUUAUUGAGUUAGUGAGUUGCAGGCGAUAAAUGUGUGAUAGGGAUAACCCCUAGUUUUAAGUGGAGGAUGCCUAAAAAUUGUAUUUAUUUUGUUCUUUUUUCAUUGAGGUGUGUAGAAGAUAGUUUGCUUUAGUGUUUUGAGCCUUGGUUGAAAAGGCGACUUGUGGUAAGAAAAAGAUUGCAUGAGGUAAGAUGGCAAGUUGGAGCAACAAGGUAGACGAUCCAUACAUCGACAAAUAUUUGAGGAGGAACUAUUUGAGUGAAGUAGAGGCUCACAUUUAGGAUGAACAGGUAAGCCUGAAUUUUGGACUCAUGGUUAUGGGACGAUGCUGGGUUAGUCUGGGGUUAGGAUUUAUUGUAAUAGGGCUUUUUGUGUUAAAUUGUUUAUAUACAGAUUUAAGGUGGUAGUGGCGUGGGUUUUCUUUGGCAUAAUUGGUGGGUAGUGGUGAUUAAAGUUAAUUUAAUGUGUGUAGUUUCUAUUUGGCUAGUAAUAUUAGGGUCGUGUUAGAAAGAAAAUGUUAAUUGUUGUUGGAGACUAUAAAUCAUGCUGACAAUAAAGGUGUAUGGGAAAAGUUUGAUUCAUAAUCGAUUGGUAGUAUAGGAGUUGUGUUUGAAGGUCAAUUAUUCUAAAGUUAACUGCAUAGUUGUGUGUUGCCGUAAGAAAAUGAGUUGGAUUUGGAAUUGAAGUGGAGGACUUAGUUGGUGGCAAUGUGGACAGCGUUGGUCCAUACGAGGAGUGGUGGAGUAAUUAUGAAGCGAUUAAAGCAGAGGAAAUGCUUAAGAUGGAGUCUAGUAGUCCGAAGGAGGCAUGAUGGUUCUAUAAUGACUAUAGUUGAGUAAAGGAUUUUGCAACAAGGUAGAGGAAGAAGAUUAAAAAUAUUUUCUAGAGGAAUUGUUCGGUACCUAAUUGAUUGCAAUAGAGAAGGAUUUAGAGACAAGAAGUGGUUGGAGAAGAGCGAUUGCAAGCGAAAACACAAGGUUGUAACAACGUGCGAGUGUCUUGUUGAGACGAGGAUAAAAAGAAAAAACGGAAAUGAUACAUGGUAUGUGUCUUGGUUUGUAGAGAAACACAAACAUGAGUUGUUAUUGUCAAAUUUUAUUGAGUAACUGAGGUCCCACCAGAAGAUUUUUUAUUUCAAGAAAGCACAGUUAAAUAGCAUAAAAAAAUCGGUAUAAGUAUCCCAAAAAUGUGUGAGUCUUUUCCUGCAUAGGCUGGUGGCUUUAACAUAGUUUUAUUCGUGAAACAAGACAUGUAUAAUGAGUUGAAGAGGCAAUGAGCCAUGGAAAAUGGAGAUGUGAAUGUUACAUUUUGUUGUUUGGAGGGUAUGGCCCAGUAGAUGAAAAAUUGUUUUAGUAGUACAAAUUUGGGUAGGUAAGCAACUUUGCAAUUUAUUUUAGAGUGACGGACUUAGACAAGAAUAUUAUUAGAUCUUUGGUGAUGUACCUAAAUUCAAUGCAACCUAUGGAAACAAGUAUAACCUUCCGAUUGUUUUAUUUUCCUGGGUUAACUACCAUAAUCAGACAUAUGUUUUCAGUGCCAUAAUGGUUUCACAUGAAUCACAGGAGUCACACAAACAGGUAUUGGAGAAGUUUUUGGAAUACAUGAAAGAAAAAAUACCUAAGAAAGCUUUGGUAAUCUGGGAUACCGGGGGACCUGUUGCACAAGCAAACCAAAGAAAGCUUCAUUGGAUUUUCAAAAUGAUAGGGUAAUUGGUGGCUAAAAUGCACAGGUGAGUCCAAUGCAUUUAUAUUUAUUCUUGUUCUGGGAGAGACACUAUUUCUAUUUGUACCCAUCUUGGUUAAUUUUUUAUUUGGAGUAGUUUAUUAUCGUUAUUGCUUUAAAGAAUGUAAGACGGUACAAUGAGUCUUGGGAUUGGUGAUUACAUGUUCUCUCCAUGGUCUUUUUCAAGAUCGGGCUUAUGCCAGCGGCAAGGUGAAGCAGGUAAGAACAAAGGAUGUGCAUGCCUCUUUUUCGAGACGUGAUGAUGCUGUAUAGGAAUAAAUAUGUAGUUGUAUGUGUAGGUAGUGGCUUCGUCAGAGUGUCACUGAUGAAAUUCAUUCAACUAUGGAUGUCCACGGUUUUAGUGAGUGUCCAUUUAUCCUAGUAAGGGUUGAUGUAAGUAGCAUUUAGUAUGUGAUCAUGGAGGUUUGUAAGGACACAGUUAAAUUGUGGUUUAUGUUAGUACGAGUCUCGUUAUUAAUCUUUAUCCAGGGAAUGCGACAGUUACUAAGGCUUUGAACACGUCAUUAAUUGUGUUUGCGGAUUGGCGUAUAAUUUCAUGGUGGAUGUCUAAGUUAAAGAGUGGUGGUUGUGUUUUUACAACUGUAUCAAUUUCAUUUAGUCUUGUGAAAUUUGCAUUGUUGUUUAGGUUACUUGCUAUUGAACUCGGUGGAGUUAAACUCUUAAACAUGUUUCUAAUGCU
Arachis ipaensis is the source of this 2718-nucleotide non-coding RNA. The record is from RefSeq and is a predicted model, not a curated record. NCBI's taxonomy places the organism in Eukaryota, Viridiplantae, Streptophyta, Magnoliopsida, Fabales, Fabaceae.